GCUGACUCCAGUGUGGGAAGGACUAACCAAACUGGAUUCAAAUCCAAGCUCACUGGGGUCUGGAGAAGUGGCUUAAUCUUUCUGAGCCUUAAGUUCUUUCUCUGCAAAGUAGCUACGAGAAUGUUUCCAUCAUGAAAAUGGGUGCUGUUAUGGACCAGAGGACCAGAGAUCUGGAGGAGGUAGUGUCACACAGGCUGGGGCCCAGCUCAGUGGCAAGGUGAGCCCAGCAUGCACGAGGCCCCAGGCCACUCCCCAGCGCAGCUGCGGCCACCCAGCUGUCUCCUCCUCCUCUCUGGCUCCUCUUGCCUGCAGAGAAGCUGUCUUGCAGAGUUAAUCAUCAAAGCCAAGAAGGCAAGAGCAAACACGUAUCUCCAAAAACUUAAGGGAAAUUGACAAAUGCUGACUUUCCCUGCAGAUCUGUAGUAACACACGGGAGCAAAAACCACUUGGCAAGACUGAACUUCAGAAAGGAUCCGUAGGAGUUACUAUUUGGAUCUGGUAGGAGAACAAGCUUCUUGCAAACAGUGAGCCAUAAUGGUUGGUUUAUACACAAAGAAUGCUCUGCAGCAGCCAGAAGAGCAAAUGUGGUCACUCUGAUGUCAGCUAGCGGGAGGGAUGUAGCUUGGUGGGCAGAGACGCCCCGGAGGCCAGACUCCAAGCCUGGCUUGCUGCCAGGGCACCUUCUAAUAAACUGCUAGAUGUGGUUCAAAUGAACUAGUACCUGGCAGGGCUGGCUGAGGGGAGAUAGACAAAGAGAGACAUCAAAUUAUACUGUAGGGGUUUGUAUUUUGUUU
RNAcentral lists this long non-coding RNA (794 nucleotides) under Marmota monax (woodchuck). The record is from RNAcentral. Lineage: Eukaryota; Metazoa; Chordata; Mammalia; Rodentia; Sciuridae.